Molecule: long non-coding RNA, 441 nt
Organism: Spodoptera litura
Lineage: Eukaryota; Metazoa; Arthropoda; Insecta; Lepidoptera; Noctuidae
Source: RefSeq, a predicted model, not a curated record
CGGAACGAAAUGAAAAGUGAAUUUUCCUACAUUGCCAAUCAGAGCAACAAAGACAUUUUUUUGUUAAAAUAUCAACAAAAAAUACAAUAAAAAAUAUUUUUCUCUAAAUCUAAAGUGAGUUAACAACUUCCGUUCAGUGUUUCCUGAAGUUUUUUCCAUAUAAUUUAUGUGAAAACGUGUUAAAUCGUGUCGUGUUUGUUGGUGAUAAAAAUAUUAUUAAAUAAUUUUAUCAUUAUUCUACAAUAGUGUAUGUUUAGGCGGCCUAAUUAAAGGUCGACAGCAUUGUCGAGGAUUCUGUGGUGCUUAUAACAUUACAAACAGUAUGGACUGGACAGACAGUGCAGUUUUGUGAUUAAUAGCCAAUACAGCAAUAAUAAUAUAUCAACAUGUCUUCCUCAUUUGAAACGACGGAAAUGCUGGAGAAGACUCCUGCGUAAGUAU